AGAACGAACGCUGGCGGCAUGCCUAACACAUGCAAGUCGAACGCUUUUGGGGCUUCGGUCCCAAAGGAGUGGCGCACGGGUGAGUAGCGCGUGGGAACCUGCCCUGGAGUGGGGGAUAACCGAGGGAAACUUCGGCUAAUACCGCAUACGCCCGGUUUACCUCGAAAGGGGGAAACCGGGAAAGAUUUAUCGCUCUAGGAGGGGCCCGCGUCGGAUUAGCUAGUUGGUGGGGUAACGGCCUACCAAGGCUGUGAUCCGUAGCUGGUCUGAGAGGAUGAUCAGCCACACUGGGACUGAGACACGGCCCAGACUCCUACGGGAGGCAGCAGUGGGGAAUAUUGGACAAUGGGCGCAAGCCUGAUCCAGCAAUGCCGCGUGAGUGAUGAAGGCCUUCGGGUUGUAAAGCUCUUUCGCACGCGAGGAUGAUGACGCUAGCGUGAGAGAACGCCCCGGCUAACUUCGCGCCAGCAGCCGCGGUAA
RNAcentral lists this ribosomal RNA (480 nucleotides) under uncultured bacterium. RNAcentral's name for it is "SSU rRNA". It matches the Rfam family "Bacterial small subunit ribosomal RNA", at positions 26 to 523 of the family's 1533-position model. The record is from RNAcentral.